AUACGGAGGGUGCAAGCGUUAUCCGGAUUUAUUGGGUUUAAAGGGUCCGUAGGCGGAUCUGUAAGUCAGUGGUGAAAUCUCAUAGCUUAACUAUGAAACUGCCAUUGAUACUGCAGGUCUUGAGUAAGAUAGAAGUAGCUGGAAUAAGUAGUGUAGCGGUGAAAUGCAUAGAUAUUACUUAGAACACCAAUUGCGAAGGCAGGUUACUAUGUCUUAACUGACGCUGAUGGACGAAAGCGUGGGGAGCGAACAGAAUUAGAAACCCCGGUAGUCC
This 274-nucleotide ribosomal RNA is filed under the name uncultured bacterium. Its description in RNAcentral is "partial 16S ribosomal RNA". It matches the Rfam family "Bacterial small subunit ribosomal RNA", at positions 523 to 796 of the family's 1533-position model. The record is from RNAcentral.